This 483-nucleotide ribosomal RNA is filed under the name uncultured bacterium. RNAcentral's name for it is "partial 16S ribosomal RNA". It matches the Rfam family "Bacterial small subunit ribosomal RNA", at positions 28 to 507 of the family's 1533-position model. The record is from RNAcentral.
GACGAACGCUGGCGGCGUGCUUAACACAUGCAAGUCGAACGCUGAAGCUCAGCUUUUGUUGGGUGGAUGAGUGGCGAACGGGUGAGUAACACGUGAGUAACCUGCCCCCCUCUUUGGGAUAACGCCCGGAAACGGGUGCUAAUACUGGAUAUUCACUGGUCUUCGCAUGGGGGUUGGUGGAAAGGGUUUUUCUGGUGGGGGAUGGGCUCGCGGCCUAUCAGCUUGUUGGUGGGGUGAUGGCCUACCAAGGCUUUGACGGGUAGCCGGCCUGAGAGGGUGACCGGUCACAUUGGGACUGAGAUACGGCCCAGACUCCUACGGGAGGCAGCAGUGGGGAAUAUUGCACAAUGGGCGCAAGCCUGAUGCAGCGACGCCGCGUGAGGGAUGGCGGCCUUCGGGUUGUGAACCUCUUUCGCUCAUGGUCAAGCCGCAACAAUGGUUGUGGUGAGGGUAGUGGGUAAAGAAGCGCCGGCUAACUACGUG